ACGAACGCUGGCGGCGUGCUUAACUCAUGCAAGUCGAACGGAAAGGCCCUGCUUUUGUGGGGUGCUCGAGUGGCGAACGGGUGAGUAACACGUGAGUAACCUGCCCUUGACUUUGGGAUAACUUCAGGAAACUGGGGCUAAUACCGGAUAGGAGCUCCUGCUGCAUGGUGGGGGUUGGAAAGUUUCGGCGGUUGGGGAUGGACUCGCGGCUUAUCAGCUUGUUGGUGGGGUAGUGGCUUACCAAGGCUUUGACGGGUAGCCGGCCUGAGAGGGUGACCGGCCACAUUGGGACUGAGAUACGGCCCAGACUCCUACGGGAGGCAGCAGUGGGGAAUAUUGCACAAUGGGCGGAAGCCUGAUGCAGCAACGCCGCGUGCGGGAUGACGGCCUUCGGGUUGUAAACCGCUUUCGCCUGUGGCGAAGCGUGAGUGACGGUAAUGGGUAAAGAAGCACCGGCUAACUACGUG
This 467-nucleotide ribosomal RNA is filed under the name uncultured bacterium. RNAcentral's name for it is "partial 16S ribosomal RNA". It matches the Rfam family "Bacterial small subunit ribosomal RNA", at positions 29 to 507 of the family's 1533-position model. The record is from RNAcentral.